RNAcentral lists this long non-coding RNA (2364 nucleotides) under Equus caballus (horse). RNAcentral describes it as "lncRNA (ENSECAG00000059840.1)". Lineage: Eukaryota; Metazoa; Chordata; Mammalia; Perissodactyla; Equidae. The record is from RNAcentral.
GUCCUCUCUGAUCUCAGAAUACUACUGUAGCUAGCUCACCCUCAGAUAAUGGUACACACUGGUAAAACCUGAAUACACAUAUUUAUAAAAUGGGGAAGUAAAUGUAAUUCUAUCUUUUAUAUUUGGUGACACCAACAUUUCCAUUAAAGACUGUAUAGUAUCAUAAAUUUAUUAGUAUUAAAUAGGCAACUUGAAAUAAAAAGAUAAAGCAUGUUUUCUAACAAUUACACCAAAGUCAGGUGGUACCAUUUUGUACAAUGGCAAUAACGGCAUGGUUCUUGGAGAUUUUCAGUGAAUCAGGAUUUUUUUUCUGAUACCACAUUAUGAGUAAGCCUUAUAGUCAGGCUCUGGAAGGCUAUUGGAAUAGGUAAUUAAAUGCAGUCUGUGCACUGACUGGCACAGAAGGUGAAGAGAGAAGAAGUCAUACUGGCUGGUGAUGUUCUCUGUUGCUGUGACAAGAUUUGAGAAACUGGAUGAAACCAAACCCAGUGAGUUCCCAAUCCAGAGCUGCCCACUUUCACAGUCACAGGUAUAUAUGAAUGGUUCUUGCUUGCUUCAUGCUGGGGAAUGUCCACUGACGUUGCCUGCAAACUUCUGGCCACUUGGAAAACCAUAGCCUCUUCAUCACUGCUAAAGUCAGUGCUGGAGCAGCUGAAGCCUCUCAGACAUGUGUGACCCUGUUCCACACCCAGCACUACCCUUUAUUUCUCUCAUUCAAAUACAGUCUUUGCCUUAAGGAAGCAACAAGAGUAUGCCUAUGACCAAAGCCUAGAAAAUACUGAAAAUAAAGAUUGUAUUCAGUUGUAGGAUGAUAGCUGAUUUUUAUUCCAUUUUAUAAAAUGUAUUUCAUGAUGUUAUAAUAUUAUUUUCCUAAUGAAACCAUCAAGUGCUUUGUGAUUUCUAGGUUUGCCCCAAGGUGGCAGAGAAAUAUCCACAUGUCCAUCACUUCUGUGAAAUGCUAUUUGGAAUUCCAUGUCCAGUCACCCUGUUAACACUGUAACGCAGCACAGCACCACUUGCUAAGGAUCUCUAAACGCUCUAUGUGUGAUCAUUGCAUGAGUGGUCAAUUUCUUGUGCUAGGGUGACAGGGUAAGGAAAAACACCCACACUGGUGAAUUGCUGACGAAGGUCAGACCUUCACCUCAGCCAAGCGCAGUACUUAAAUAGUAUGUCUUCAGGGCCUCUCCCUUUAUACUUCUUCCAUGCUUUUUUGGUAGGACCUCAAAAUGAUACAUUUCAAAGUCUCCCUUUCCCAUCAAAACAUUGUCACAUUUUCUUAGGGCUCUAGUCAUUGCAAAGGGUUAAUAGGUAGUAAUGGAUUAAUUUCAGAAGUUGAUCCCUUGCACUAUCUACACAGUGUUGUAACUCAAGUAAAACACCUUUCACUACUAUUUAGUCUCUUUAGGAGACAGGGGUUGGUCAGUUGUAUCAAAAUAUUUCAUAUCACACUUGUAACAUAGCUGCUCACUAUAAUUCUGCUUAAGGGUAAACUUACUCAAGAACAUCAAUAUCAUUUCUCAUCAAAUGAUCAGAGAAACUUCCUUGUCCUUCAUCCUCCUCUUCGUUUACAGCAUCCCUAAAUAAUGAUUCCAACAGCUAAAGGCAAUAGGCCCGAGAGGAUUUUGGGAAUUUAGACAACCUCCUUCCUACUACAGCCAAACUAUCUUUUCCAGUUCUGCAACAAAUAUGGAGUUUGCUAAACUGAACUUCUCUGAGCAUCAGUUCUCUUAAGCAAAAAAGAGUUAUUGUGAUGAUUAGAAAUAAUGUAUGCAAAGUAGCUAAUUACAGACCUGGCUUUCAGUAGGCAAUCAAUAAAUUGUAACUAUUUUUAUUUUGCUUAUAAGCUAGAUUUUCUUACUGGGGUGGUACGUACUAUAGAAAACUAGCAGAGUCUAGACAAGGAAAAAAUAUACAAAAUUAAUUAAAGCCACAACCAGAUCCUCAGAAAAUGUUUGCAAACCUGUUCUAAGAUGCAUGUGGCACCAGUGACUGUAGGAUAUAUGACUUCUUUGGGCGCUGGACUAGGAUUAGGCAAGUGAGGCACCUAGAGUGCAAAAUUUAAGGAGGCAUUCACUUUCAGGGGAAAACCCUGGACUCAGAUAACCCUGGGAGUGGGUGCUUCCUUAAAUCUGAUACCCUGGACACUUCACUGCCUCAGCCUAGUCCAGGCCCUGUCUGACUUCUGCCUCCUUUCAGAGGGCAUAGGAGAGAGUGUGGUCUACUGUGUGGAUGGCUUGAGGGAGCAGGGAAAGGAGGCUGGCUUGGGCUCCUGUGGUUUUGGACUUGUGUCUUUUGGCUGGUGCCAAAGGCAGGAGCAUCUGGGCUUUCUUAUCAGGGGAAUGGGAAGUGGUGAGACUUGAAACC